UACGUAGGGAGCAAGCGUUGUUCGGAUUUACUGGGCGUAAAGGGCGCGUAGGCGGCAUAUUAAGUCAUCUGUGAAAUCUCCGAGCUUAACUCGGAACUGUCAGCUGAUACUGAUGUGCUAGAGUGCGGAAGGGGCAAUCGGAAUUCUUGGUAUAGCGGUGAAAUGCGUAGAUAUCAAGAGGAACACCUGAGGUGAAGACGGGUUGCUGGGCCGACACUGACGCUGAGUGCGCGAAAGCCAGGGGAGCAAACGGG
Molecule: ribosomal RNA, 254 nt
Filed under: uncultured bacterium
Lineage: Bacteria
Description: partial 16S ribosomal RNA
Rfam family: Bacterial small subunit ribosomal RNA
Source: RNAcentral